GAGAGAAAGAGAGAGAGAGAGAGAGAGAGAGAGAGAGAGAGAGAGAGAGAGAGAGAGAGAGAACAAGACGCUGCUCUUGCGCAGCUUCCUUAGCCGUGUUGCACAGACGGACGAUGUGACGGUCCAGGAAUCCGGGGGCCUGGAUUCUGAUGUCACCACACAAAAACCUUUUUAAAACACUUUUGAAAACCUGUAUUUUUUUUAAAGAUAAUGAAAAUCAAAGAAUUUAAAAACUGAAACUUAAAUAGAAGAUUUGAAAGAGACCAUUUUAACCCCUUAAAAACAGGAUCGCAUGCAGGUUACAAUAUUGAAGUUAGAAUCCACCACUAUUCUUAAAUAAUGUCUCUUACAUAAUCAGUUCAUCUUCGAUGAGAAGAAUCACUGUCCAUCUGAUACAACUAUAACAACUGAAUCUUCAAUACACAAAUUCUAUCUAUAACCAACCUUAUCAAUCUCCCUGAAUACUCCUUGACCACUGGAUCCUCAACUCUGACUCCCCGCUUAGCCUUAGCCUUACUCACGGUCUCAAUCAGGUAGCUCAUCUUUAAGCCUUUCUGAAAUGGUUAGAAAGGAAAGCAAGAGUGAGCAACAAUGCUCAGCAAGUAGUAAUAAACAAGACAAUUCCGAAUGAGAUAACAGAAAUUCACAAGCUCAAGAUACUAUAAGAAGAGAUUCGAUAUGAAUUUAAGAUCAGGGUAUUGUAUAAAAUGAUUCACAAUACCUUGUAGCCAUGGAAACCAAGUAAUUCAUUCUUUCAAGAGAAUUAUUGAAUUGGACUAUCACAUUUUUAGUUAAAACCAAGGUUAGGAUGCUGAUUAGUCAUACCUAACCCCGAGCAGGCCCCGCCAUGCUCUAUCACUGGAUCCAAGGCACUCAUUGGCCUAACAUGACCACUGAUGUGCUCAAAAUGAUUACCUUUUAAAAUCGCAAGCGCACGAUCAAACCGUUUUAAUAUUUAUGAUUCGAUCCACAGAGAUUAAAAUUAUUUUCGGUAAACUUUACUUAUUAAUCUAAGCAAAUUAGAACAAUUAAAGUCGUGAAAAAGGAGUUUUUCUAAAUUAAUUCUAAAAUUAUGAAUGUGAGAAAAUUUGUGAUUAAGUUUUGAAAUCUUAACUUAUCCGAAUAUUACCAACUGGCAUUACCAAAUCAAAUGAAUUCAUUACAUUUACUACGAUUAAGACUUAAGCUGAUUAACAAAAUAAAUGCCAUCACCAAAAGUCAAAAGAAAUGAUGCAUAAACAUAUUACAGUAAGGGCUUGGCUAACCUGUGCCCUCAGGGCACAGGUUAAGAGCAUUUAUUAUUAUUAAGUUUUUGUAUAUACUGGAGUACAACCAGACAGGCAUUAACUACUACGUAGUCAGUAAAUUCAAAUGCUCAUGUUUAUAAAAGUAAAUUUCAUAUUUUGUUUAUUUAUGUAUUUUAUUAUAAUUCUAAUCAUUUAUAAUUUUUAAUAAUAUUAAAUAAUAGAAAGUCAUAAAAUUAUUAUUCUCAAAAUUGGCUGUUUUUAAUUAGAAGGCUUAUUUUAGUUUGGAAAUUAGUGUGUACAUAGGGGGGCCUCAUUAUUAUUUGUGGGAUGAAAUUAAAUUAAAAAUUGUUAUUUAAAAUAUGACAAAAAUAUUAUUCUAUAUUCUCACAUUUUUUUGAAAUAAAAUAUUAUUUUAUUAUAAAUAUAAAUUUGAAAUAUAAAUUAACAAUAAAUGUAGAGUUAAUAUUCCAAUAAAUUUUGAAUGAUUUUAUGUGGAAUGACAUUAAUCAUGGCUUAUCCUGUGCCCUUGGGGCACAGGUUAGCCAUUCCGUUACAGUAAACCCAGCCAAGCAAAUUACAGGACUCGCAACUCAUAUAAAGACUUGUACACUCGACGAAAACGAACCAGUUAUACUAAACCGAAAAUAACAAUUAACCAACCUAUAUUCAACUAGACUAAACGCAGCAUAGACACAAGUAAAAACAGCAAAAUUAGCGACUCAGAACUCAGACUCGAUAACUCGGCAUUAACCAAAAACAAGAAACUCAGCAGAGAAAUGGACUUAAACAAAAAAAACUCUAGCUCACAACAACUCAGCCAAUACUAACAAAAUACAGUAGCUAACUCAGUAAAUGGUAAACGGUGGUGGAGACUCAGAAACACGAAACAGAGGAAACGAAAUAGACAGCAAUGACUCGGUAACAGACUCGCUACAAAGACUCGGUGAAACUCAGAAACAACUCGGACAAAAGGACUAAAACUCAGCAAAUCAGAACUAAUAGCCAACAGAAAACCGAACAAACAAGAUACCCAGCUAUUCUUAACUAAACAGACUCGGCACUUAAACUCGGAACAGACAUAUGAAACGGACUGACUCGAUUGACAUGAACUCAGCAACAAAACUAAAUCAGACUCGACGAAAAGCAAACUCAGAAACAGAUUGACUCGCAGCUUCUAUGACUCAAGACGCAAAGCUGAUACAAAACUUAACUACAACACAAAACCCAGCUCAGUGCAGGACAGUAGACUUGACAAAAAGAAAUCGACACAAGACAAACUCAAAAACAGAACAAGAAAAACACUCGAAAAUCAGCCAUGGAAUACAUUAAAAUCACCACCAAACUAAUUCAGACGCGACUUGGAGACUCGGAAACAACCCAACACAAAACCCAGCAGACAACAACUCGAUAAACUCAGUGACGACAGAGCAAAAACAAAGCAAGAACGCAGAGUUCGAAAUCGCAGCAAAUCACGGAAAAUAAAUACAAACAAAAUAGAUUAGAAAGUGAAAGGGGAGGGGGUCGAUGGUUCUGUUUAUAAACCAAUAAAAACAAGGACUCAGUCAGGGACGAAGCCAGCAAACAUCCACAAGGGGGGUCAAAAAAAUUUCUUCG
RNAcentral lists this long non-coding RNA (2861 nucleotides) under Daucus carota (carrot). RNAcentral's name for it is "long non-coding RNA (DCAR_LNC000253)". The record is from RNAcentral. Lineage: Eukaryota; Viridiplantae; Streptophyta; Magnoliopsida; Apiales; Apiaceae.